AACGAACGCUGGCGGCGUGCCUAACACAUGCAAGUCGAGCGCGAAUGGAGCAAUCCUAGUAGAGCGGCGCACGGGUGCGUAACACGUGGAUAAUCUGCCUGGGUGUCUGGGAUAACCAGUCGAAAGACUGGCUAAUACCGGAUAAGACCACGGUCUCUUCGGAGGCUGUGAGAAAAGGUGGCCUCUGUAUACAAGCUAUCACAUCCAGAUGAGCCGCGGCCCAUCAGCUAGUUGGCGGGGUAAUGGCCCACCAAGGCGACGACGGGUAGCUGGUCUGAGAGGACGAUCAGCCACACUGGAACUGAGACACGGUCCAGACUCCUACGGGAGGCAGCAGUGGGGAAUUUUGCGCAAUGGGCGAAAGCCUGACGCAGCAACGCCGCGUGUGUGAUGAA
This 395-nucleotide ribosomal RNA is filed under the name uncultured bacterium. RNAcentral describes it as "bacterial SSU rRNA". It matches the Rfam family "Bacterial small subunit ribosomal RNA", at positions 29 to 412 of the family's 1533-position model. The record is from RNAcentral.